GGAAACCCCUGCCCCAUAGGUCUGGGAUAAACCACGAGAAAAUCGGGGCUAAUACCGGAUGUGUCAUCGGACCGCAUGGUCCGCUGAUGAAAGGCGCUUCGGCGUCGCCCAUGGAUGGCUUUGCGGUGCAUUAGCUAGUUGGUGGGGUAACGGCCCACCAAGGCGACGAUGCAUAGCCGACCUGAGAGGGUGAUCGGCCACACUGGGACUGAGACACGGCCCAGACUCCUACGGGAGGCAGCAGUAGGGAAUCUUCCACAAUGGACGAAAGUCUGAUGGAGCAACGCCGCGUGAACGAUGAAGCUUUCGGGUCGUAAAGUUCUGUUGUAAGGGAAGAACAAGUGCCGCAGGCAAUGGCGGCAC
RNAcentral lists this ribosomal RNA (363 nucleotides) under Exiguobacterium sp. LBBMA TRN2. RNAcentral's name for it is "bacterial SSU rRNA". It matches the Rfam family "Bacterial small subunit ribosomal RNA", at positions 117 to 478 of the family's 1533-position model. Lineage: Bacteria; Bacillati; Bacillota; Bacilli; Caryophanales. The record is from RNAcentral.